Molecule: long non-coding RNA, 9338 nt
Organism: Equus caballus (horse)
Lineage: Eukaryota; Metazoa; Chordata; Mammalia; Perissodactyla; Equidae
Source: Ensembl
GGAAAGGGAGCGGAUGAGAGGAGAAAUGUAACUUCAAGAUAAGGAUGCAAAUGUCAAGAAGCCACUGCUGUUGUGAGCUGCUACUCAGGCCUCUUGAUUGCAAAUGAUAAAAACCAAACUGGAACUAGUUUCGUGGAGAAGACUUUAUUGGAAGGAUGCUGUGGUGACUGACAUUGUAACAGAAUGGAAAUGGUGAUGCCUCAGAGGCAGCUAGGAUCAGGGCCCUGGAGCUAUCAGAGCACCAUCUCUCUGUCUAUCUUCAUUGCCUCUGUGUGUUGGUUUUAGUCUGUUCCACCACGAACCAGCUUCUUCCAUAUAAGGGAAGUGUCAUCCUUGAAUUUUCCCUAAACUCUUACAUUAUGGUCUUAUCUCCACAAAAGGAAUGUCCCUCUCCCUUAGGUUCAAUUUGAAAAAUUCCAGGAAGGUGGAUGAGCUCACCCUGGGCCAACUGAAGGAGACAAAAAAGGUGAGGUAUGAGGAUUAGCUAACACCACAUCGUUGGAGUGGGGAGGAAAGAUAGUUCUCUAGGAAAGAUAGAGUUUUAUUUUAAGAAGAAAGCAAGCUUGACAAGCCUAACAGUGCGUAUUCACCCUAUCAUCUGCUAUAAAAGUUCCUGGAUAAGGAUCUCCACGUGAAACAAUUGGAAAUUGAGAGUGAAGCCAUCUGAUGGUAACCAUGUCAGGUCAUACUUUGCCGCCUCCAGGACAUCUUCUGUUGAUUCUUCCACGCUGGGAUAGAUUUCCUCUCGUUUUCAGGAGGGAUAGGUGAGUUGUAUACUUGCUGAGGAAGCUUUGCACGUGAAGAAGUCCUUUGCAGUGGGAGAGCAACUUGGCUGGACACAGAAUUCUUGGGUAACAGAAUUUUCACUUUAGAUGAUAAUAUAUUUAGAUACAGCUGUUGCAAGCACUAACCAUAUAUUGAUUCAUUUAAUUCUUCUGUGAAAUAGCUCUUAUCAUUAUCCUCAUUUUGAAGAUGGUAUAACUGAAGUGCAGAGAGCUUAAGUGACUUGUCAAAGGUGAAACAACUGGUAAGUGGAAUUAGGAUUUGAACCAGGGGAGUUUUGUUUCAAAGCCUACACUCAUAACCACUACACCAAAUAGUCCAUUACAUAGUCAUCUGCAGAUUAUUGUCUAUUAGAUAUUUAUGGAUGUUAAUUCAUUACCUUUUGUCUUUUAGAGAAGAUACUAUUGAAACAAGUCAUAUUUUUCUUCAUUGGAAGGUAAAUGUUUUCUAUCUUCUCUCUGCCUGGACGCAACAUCAAACUAGUGGUCUCUGUGCCUUGUCCUUUUAAACAACAUUUCUGUCUGUGAAGACCUACUUCAUCUCUGAAAAGUUUUCUUUUACUAUUUUAUUCAUUUAAUUGUUUCUGCAAUAUUGUCUCCUUUGGGGGUUCCCAUGUAUGUAGGUAGCAUAUUCUGGAUCUAUACUUCACUCAUAACUUUAUUUAACAAAUACUCAUUGAUUUUCUACUGUGUGCCAGACACUGUGAAUAUAAUGAUGAUGAAAACAUGGCCACUAACCUAUUAAUCUUACAGUCUAACUAGGGAGAGGCAGAUCUUAAAAAGUAAAGGGACACUAUUAUAAUUGUAAAUGUCAUUUAAUGCAAAAUCUGAAGGCUAAGUAGACUCAGCCAGUUGAAAGAGUGGAAGAGUAUAUCAGGCAGAGGGGACAGAAUGAAUCAAGGCUCCAAGCAGGCUAGACUUGGUGAGUACUAGGGUCUACUGAAGGACAAUGAGCAAUGGAGAGAUUAUUAUAAAAUGAGACUGCCCAUGUAGUUAGGAGCUAGAUAAUGUAGGUCUGUGCAGUCCAUGUUAAGCUUUUGCUUCUUAACAAAGGGAAGCCAUUAAAAGCUUUGAAGUAGUGGAAUUGAAUGACCUACAAAUAACCUGACUUGAAAGCUGACUGGAUGGAAUAAGAGGCUGUGUGGGGAGACCAGUUAGAAGGCUCUUGCAGUUUUCCAGCUAAGAGAUGAUGAUGGCUUAGACCAGAAUCUAGCAGGGGAGCUGGGGAAAAGAGGAAAAAUUUCAGAAACAAUUACAGCGUAAGUGCUUUGUAUUUACAAUUUUUAGUAAAAGUGACAGAGAGCAACCAAAACUAGUAGAAUAAGCCUAAUUAUAAGAUUACAGGGAUGCAUCCAAGGAAGUGAAAGCAUAUAGCUGAGACUUUGAAAAUGCCUGGCACCAAGACGUGGGAAGUCUUAGGAAACUCAUGCAAUAACUUGUUUUUAUCUUUCAUCUCUGUUUCUAAAUUUCACUGCCUUCUUCUCUGGCUAUGCAUACUGGCUUAAUCUGUUCCAUGUACGUAGGGUGGAAGAUGGCCAGAGUACAUCGCCCACAUUUUUGCUUCUUCUUCAUUCAAAGGAAAGCAUGCAACACUGAAUUUUUAAUUUUUAGUUUCAGUUCUAAUUUCUCAAGAUCGUGAGCCAGGUUGAUCCAAUUUGAGUCUUUUCAAGUGGAUUCAGUGGGAAGUUUUAUGGUGAAAAUAAGAUUCUGAGAACCCACCACACUGGAUGGAGCUAGGGUUAGCAUUUGGAAUAUACAUGAGAAAGUUCCUGUCUAAUGAUAUUUAUUUUCUUAUGAGAAGUAGAUGCAGUAGAUUUCUGAGAAUAAGAGAAUGUGGUAGAGUCAAAGAUUUGAGGAGACUGGUGAAAGUUUUCACUUGCAGUUUCAGAAAGAGAAAAACUGAGUAGAGAGCUUUAGUAUAAUCCUAGGUAGAAUUGAGAGCCCAGCUGGGAUUAACAACCUUGAACUUAUGGUGGUACUAGUCUGCAAAUGGACAAAGGCGGAAAGAGUUUGGUAUUAGAUGAUGACUAUGAUGCAUAUUAAGGAUGAGGAGAUAAGUGAAGAGAGGAGAUUUAUGGGUAGAGAAGAAGGAGAAAGAAUGAGAUGUAUAAAGGCCCAGAGGCAGGAGAGGUUUGGUAGGUUUGUGGCACUGUGAGAAAGCUGGAUUGGGGACAUAGCGUGAGGGCUGGAGUCACAAGUUGGCUUUUCUUCAGCUCAGCACCCAGCGCAGUGCCCCCAGUGCCCAACCCAAUAUGUACACGUAGUAAGUGCUCAAUAAAUAUUUGUUGAAUGAAUCUAGCCUUAUCUGUGUUGUGUCUCCAAUUUUCCUUCAAAGUUUCUGUCCUCUAGAUGGCAGCCUUCCAUAGUUUACAGAGACAAUGCAGGCUUUCAUCUUUUUUGAUAGUGGAAAAAUUACCUCAAUAUUCUGGGUCUCAAUUUCCUCCUCUGUAAAAUACGGGUAUAAUAAUAACACCUACCUCUCAGGUAGUUGUGAGGUUUCAAUUGAGUAAAACAUGAAAGGGCUCAGCUUUCGACUUAAUCAUUAAUCAAUACCUGUUGCCUAAUAUAAUUAUUAAUUUUAUUCUUGUCAUGGGAGCUUUUUCAGCCUGGGAGAUUACUUGUGUUCAUGUCAUUGUCUUGUUUAGAACUGUUUUAAUUUGUACUGGACAUUUGUAAUUCGGACGACGCCAAACAUCCUUUCCCCAUCUUCAUCGUAUCCUGAGUUCUCCUUUGAGAACCUAGCCCUUUCCAAUUCUGCUUCCAAGUGUCUUGAAUGGGAUGUCUUCUCCCGGUUACAGGGUAGCAGUCCUGCAGGCUUACGUCAAUCCUUGUAUGGCAUCCCCCCAUCAACCAGAGCCAAUGAAAUGUGCAAUAAUUGGGGGGUUUUGUUUCUUUACUGCGAAAACUAUGAGAUGAGACCAUCCUUUUUCUCCACAAUAAUAUGUGGUGAGCUUGAGAGGUCUGUAUCUAUGUGAGCCAUUGUUGCUACAAGGAGAGCCGAGAGAGCCUUCACAGGGAGCCUGAAGGUCAAGCAGAAACAGAACCAUGAGGGGCUGGCCCAGUGGUGCAGCGGUUAGGUUUGCGUGUUCCUCUUUGGCGGCCUGGCCUGGGGUUUGCCGGUUGGGAUCCUGGGUGCUCACCUAUGGCACUGCUUAUCAAGCCAUGCUGUGGCAGGCGUGUCAGGUAAAAUAGAGGAAGAUGGGCAUGUGUGUUAGAUGUUACCUCAGGGCCAAUCUUUCUCAGCAAAAAGAGGAGGAUUGGUGGUGGAUGUUAGCUCAGGGCUAAUCUUCCUCAAAAAAAAAAAAAAAAAAAGAAAAAGAAAACAGAGCAGAGAGAGGCUUAAGAAUGACGUUCUGGGUGCUGGUUUUUGAGCCCUUGGGUCCAAUCUUCCCAGAAACUAGUUAUAUUUCUGAUCUCAUCAUGUGAGCUAACACAUUUCGUUUAUUGUCUAAACUAGUUUAAGUUGGAGUUUUGUUACUUGCAGUAUACAAUCUUAACUAUACACAAUUUUCAUUGAGAAUGUGCUUGUCCACCUGAUGUUGAAUAUAUAUUGACUGAAAUAAAAUUAUUCUUUCAAUAAUCUUAUGUAGAAACCCCAUUAGUGAAUAAUCAAUGGAGUCUAUGCCAUUAAGCAGUGCAUAUAUUCAUUUUUUCCCAGUCUAAAUCAAACUCUAGGACAGUAUGGUCUUUUGAAAAAUUAGUGACUCUUCUAAUAAUUACACUGUGAUUCUCAUGGACUGUCAGUGAGUAAAUGAUAUCUUUAAUACAGAUUAGUUUUUAUAUGACUUGUCUUACAUUUUAAUGUAAAGGAAGAACAUUACAGAAAUCUCCUAUUAUUAUCCACUUAUUAUAAAGCUGAGUUCAUCCUUUUGCUAUUUAAUAUUUAUUAUUUAAUUUCUACAUUUCCAUUAUAUCCAAAUUUUGAGAAACCAUGGUUUUUAUUACUCACAGAGGGAACAUUUGAAGUGGAAGGAAUUUUGGAAGCAGACAGAACUGGGUUCCCGUCUCAGCUCUGCUACUUGCUAGCUCAGUGAACUUGGACUAGUUAUUUAACUCUGAGCCUCAGUUUUUGGUUUUUGUUUUCCCAAAUUGGGAGUGAUGAUAGAACCUUCUAGACAGAGAUGUAGUGAGGAAUACUGAGAUCGCAUAAACAAGACUCCUAGUGUACAUUAAGAUACCCAAAGGCUCACAGCAAGUAUUAUCUCCCUUUUUCCAAUUAGUACAUUUAAAUUUGUCUUCAGAAAGGUUUAGUGUGAAGGUGUGCCAAGCAGAUAUAUUGUUCUUUGAAGUGAAAAUAUUAAAUAUUUUUCUUUAUUUACUAACUUCUAAACACUCAGUGAGGAGGAGCUAAUGUGUAUUCAGAUUAGAUCUUGUCCAAUGCUAAUUUGAUGUCAGGUUUAUGAAUUGCUUGAAGUAGUAUAUCUGUGAGUGAUUAGAGGAAUACCCAUAUUUCUCAGCACACUAUGGAUUUAAAACUAUAGGGAGUUUAGAAAGCCAUUGAGUCUGCUUCCUUCCUGUAAUGUCUAUACAUCAAUUUAUCUGUAUAUUGUUCCAGCUCCACUGGAGAACGUUGGCUUCGUGCAUUGUCGUUUAUUUUUUAACUUGAUAUUAUUUUGUGUGGCUAACUGUGUAGCUCAUAAUAGGAAAUUGAAAAAAGAUGUGUGCAGUCGUGCUGCAAACUGUGACCCAUCCAUUUAAUAUGAGCUGAGAGAGAAGUAGCUCCCCCUUUGUUUUAUUUUUAUUAUUGAAGCAUUCUCAAGGUUUGGAUCUUGAGUCUGAGAGGAAGAGUUUGGUUCUUCACAAUGAUUUUUGUAUAAAUGUCUUGAAAGGUUUUCAUGUGAAAUAAAUUUGCUUUUCCCCUGGAUCUCAGUUCUAACUUUGACAAUCAGAAACCAUUUUAAAAUCUCCCAAUUAUAUACCCUGCCCAGUGGCCCGCUGGCCAUGACCUUUUCAUGCCAGCUGGAUCCUUCGUCAGUUCCCAGUUGGAGCGUGAGCCUGAGUAGCUAAGGAACCCUCUUCAACAGAGGGAUAAACAUACCCAAGUUUGAAUUUGUCUAAAUACUGGUGUAAUUACACAAAUGACUCAGCCAGCCUUUUCUAUUGUUCAAGUUCAAUUCAGGGGGGAGAAAAAAAGUUCCUGAAAGUUAGUGAAGAAAGAAGUUGAAGAACAAGACAGUAUUGUCUGAGGUGUCUCUUUUUGUGUAAUGAUAGUUGCAAUUUGUGACUAGGAGGCAAGAUGGCAUGAUGGUUAGAAGUAUGGACUCUGGUGCUGCCUGGGUUUGAACCCAGAUCUGCCACUUAUUACCGGAUGCUGUGACCAGCACAGUGCCUGAUACAGAGUAAACAUGGAAAGAGAAGAACCUGGAAGAAAAUUCCUCAUUGCCCUAGAGGUGAACCUGAACUUCCUUGCUCCCUGUCGUGGGUAUCCAGAGAACUUUGUUUUCCUGCUCUUGUCAACCUCAUGUUUAACCCUGCUGGUUUUCAUUUACUUUAUAAUUCAAUCAUAAUGAAUUUUAAAAUCCAUUCUAACUUCCAAGGAUCUCUAGAGACUUGCUUCAUCAGUCUGACAUCACGUUCAUUUACAUUUCUUAUUUUUUCGUUUCCUUGUAAGAGGUCUAAGCACUGUUCCAAUAAAACACUUUUAAGAUUGCAUUACACAUACUGUGUGCUAUUUAUUCCUGGCUACAUGUUCAAACUAACAAGCAAGAAAUUGCCUAUGCCCUGAUCAACUGUUAUAAACUGUAAUGCUAUAUCUGUUAUAAUUGAAAAAAAAAUUGGACCUGGACUAUUCUUUUGUAACCAUCUAAGCUAAUAGUUUACAUGGAAAAUAUUUAUACAAAAAUUGUAGCCAAUUCAAGUUCAAGGAGAUGUUACAGGCCAUUCAGCUUGAUCAUUCUCUCAAGAUGGUAAGUUCUUAGGUAUUUCCCAUGAUAAAUAAUCGUCUGUCUUUUGCCUGGCGUGUUCCAGGCAAAGAGAACACAUUAAUUCUAAAGUCAUCUUCUUCCUUUGGUGGGCAGUUCUUUUUGAUGGGAAAUUAUUUCUCAUAUUGAAUAUAACCCACUGCUCUCAAAAACAACAUAGGUUGGAGCUGAUCACCAUCUUCCGUGAUAGCCUUCAAAUAUUUGGAGACAGGUAUUUUGUUUCCUAAUAUGUUAUAAAUCGACAGAUUGUACUGGUGGAGCUCAGUACGUGGAAGGUACAUAAAUAUAAUUUAAUUCUAUUGUUUUACAGAUAAGUAAAAUAAACAGGAGGAGACGUUGAGUAACAUGCCCAACAUCACACAUUUGUUCAUUCAAUCAUUGUGUACUCAGACACCAACUUAAUAAAUUUACAGUUUUAUUAUCUAUUAUAUACAAUUUUAUAAUUUAGUAUAACAUACAAAAUUUUGCAAUUUACUAUAACAAAUAAGUUAUGAAGAAAUUUAUAAUUUAUUACAUAAAUAACAUUGAAGACCUCACUGAAUUACAGUCACUCCGUUCUCCUCCUUCCCUACCCAGAGACUACCACUAACCUCUAUUGGUUGUUUAACAUUCAAACAUAUUGUAUCAGUUAGUGUUCCAGCAGAGAAACAGAAACACUAUGAGUGAUAUGGAAUUGGGGAUUUAUGAUAGGGAUUUGAUUUUACAUGGUUGUAGAUGCUGUCGAAGAAGUGGAAGCUUAUUGCCUCUGCAUCUGGGCCUGAAGUCUUGUAGGUUAGUAGGUCUGACAGUCAAGAACACGAGCCAGACAUGAAGUGGGGCAGAACAAGGACAAACCAGAACAUAAGUUAGUCCCUCACUGCCUCCAGGCUUGGUGAUCCUGGUGAAAUAGAAGGAGCUGCUGCCCUUUGCCGUGGAGCCACACACACACCCGGCAUUGGACUCAGAGUAAGUGAAGGAGGGUAGCAGGCUUGGAGGAGCUGCAGGCCUGGCUGGUGCUCCAUGCCAACAAGGUGAGCAACAGUCAGAUACAAUAUGUGCAAUCUGUAGUGGCUCCUGGUAACUACAGAAUUCAUACUGACCUUCAGAGCAAAAUGGCUGCCCCACUGAGCACCAUCAAUUCUCUAAAUGCUGUGUAGUUAUCUAGGGGCCAGCAUUUAACCUCUGCAGGUCGUCCAAAGCUGGAGCUCAUCAGCAGAGACGACCUGCAGAUCUCUUCCUUCACCCUAUUUACUCCCAAAUAUUUCUCUGUGUGGCUCAGUUUUAUAUUUUCUGCAGGACUACUGGGUUGGAUUAAAAAUGGCAACCUCUGAAACAUUUUCUCCUUUAAUCAUUUGUCAGUGGAGAGUGGGUGGUGAAAAAUGAGAAUCAAUGCAGUGCCUACAUUGUCCUGAGGGUGAACUGAGAUGAUUAUGAUGUACUUAGUUCAGUGAGAGGCAUACAGUAAGUGCUCAAUAAAUAGUGGUCAAUAUAAAUGUUAAUAUUAUUAUUGCACUUAAAAUUUCUUCUGCUUCUACUUGUGUGUCUCAUUAUUCAACUAUACAUUUCUUGAAUUUAGGAUCUGUGGCCGAUUCAGUCCUAUAUCCUCAGAAGCCUAGCUUAGAGCCUGACCUAUUUAGAGAUUCAAUACCUGGAGAUUGUAUUGAAAAUGACUUCAUAAGACUCUUUCCUGGGAUCAAUUUUUAGAAGGAGGAGAGAGAUGUAUGAAGAUACUGGGCACAUAAGAAUGAAGGGGGCACUGGGGAAAGAAAUACUCAAAUGUCAAUCAUACUGUUUGCAUGAAUUUUGUGAUGUUAGAUCUCAAGAUGUACUUGACUUAUUCUGUAGAUGGUGUUGGUACCAUUGGCUAAUGCUUUAGACGAAAUAGAGUUAUAUCCCUAUCUAACACCAUAUGGUAAAAGGAAUUCCAAGUGGAUUAAAUAUUUAAAUGGAAAAAUUAAAGCCAUCAAAGUUUGGAGGAAAAUGGGUAGGGAUGAGUAUGUGACCUUGGAGCAACGUUUCCUAAGCAUGUCACCAAAGAGGGAUUGCAUAAAAGAUUUAAUCUUGUAAAAAUAAGAACAAAAAUCUGUAUUUAAAGAUCUUGAUGAACUAAAGAGGAAAAGAACAAAUUGUAAUGACAUUUGCAAAAUAUAUGACUGUGUUAAUAUUCCUAACAUGUUAGAGACUCUAAUAAACCAGUAUGAAAAAUAUAAACAAAUCAAUAGAAAAAUGGACAAAGAGCAUGCACAGCCACUUCUAUAUACUGCAGGUGGAACCAUACCUGGUAGAUGGGUACCAUCUUUCUGGAAAGCAAAUUUGCAUCAAAAGCCUUGAAUAUGUAUUUAUAUUUUGCCCUAGGAAUUUCAAUUUAAGGAAUUUAUAAUACUGUAUCCAAAGAUUUAACUGUAAGAACAUUUAUCAAAGUGUCGUUUGUAAGCAGAAUUACAAUUCUAUUUCCCAAAUGACUAUAGUGGCCUUCCUGACAUUUGCAUUUUAGUUCUCUGGGUGUUGCCUAGGUCAGUGUGAAUCGUUACACGAUAGAUUUAUACAUCAGCAUCACAAGCUUGGUUAAUGUGCGUCUUCUCCUGAGAUCUAUUUGGGCAUAUGAAGGAAACAUGUUUCUGAGCCUAUAUGUUUGAGAAUUCAGAUGCUGGAAUUC